RNAcentral lists this ribosomal RNA (96 nucleotides) under Jaculus jaculus (lesser Egyptian jerboa). The record is from RNAcentral. Lineage: Eukaryota; Metazoa; Chordata; Mammalia; Rodentia; Dipodidae.
CCAACUUGAACAUGCCUGAUCUUGUCUGAUCUCAGAAGCUAAGCAGGGUUGAGCCUGGUUAGUAUGCAGAUGGAAGACCACCCAGGAUUACUGAGU